RNAcentral lists this ribosomal RNA (961 nucleotides) under uncultured bacterium. RNAcentral's name for it is "bacterial SSU rRNA". It matches the Rfam family "Bacterial small subunit ribosomal RNA", at positions 1 to 962 of the family's 1533-position model. The record is from RNAcentral.
CCCCUUAGAGUUUGAUCAUGGCUCAGGAUGAACGCUAGCGGCAGGCCUAAUACAUGCAAGUCGAGGGGCAGCAGGGUAGCAAUAUCGCUGGCGACCGGCGCACGGGUGCGUAACACGUAUACAAUCUGCCUUUAACAGGGGGAUAGCCUUUCGAAAGAGAGAUUAAUACCCCAUAACACAUGAAAUAGCAUUAUUUUAUGUUAAAAGCUCCGGCGGUUAGAGAUGAGUAUGCGUCUGAUUAGCUAGUAGGUGAGGUAACGGCUCACCUAGGCGACGAUCAGUAGGGGAUCUGAGAGGAUUACCCCCCACACGGAUACUGAGACACGGAUCCGACUCCUACGGGAGGCAGCAGUAAGGAAUAUUGGACAAUGCCCGCAAGGGUGAUCCACCCAUGCCGCGUGCAGGAAGAAGGCCCUAUGGGUCGUAAACUGCUUUUACACCGGAAAAAACCUCCCCUCGUGAGGGGAGCUGAUAGUAUGGUGAGAAUAAGCAUCGGCUAACUUCGUGCCAGCAGCCGCGGUAAGACGAAGGAUGCAAGCGUUAUCCGGAUUCAUUGGGUUUAAAGGGAGCGUAGGUGGACUGAUAAGUCAGUGGUGAAAUCUUCGAGCUUAACUCGGAAAUUGCCAUUGAUACUGUUGGUCUUGAGUACAGUUGCUGUGGGCGGAAUAUGACAUGUAGUGGUGAAAUACAUAGAGAUGUCAUAGAACACCGAUUGCGAAGGCAGCUCACAAAGCUGUAACUGACACUGACGCUCGAAGGUGGCGGGGGAUCAAACAAGGAUUAGAUACCCCUAGUAGUCCGCACCGUAAACGAUGAUUACUCGCUGCUAGGGGGCUAUCUUUUAGUGUCUAGCGAAAGCGAUAGUCAUUCCAGCGUGGAGUAGUACGCCGGCACGAUGAAUCUCAAGGAAUUUGACGCGCUGACAGCGAAGAAAACCAGUGUUUUACUUUCGAUGCAAUAC